Molecule: ribosomal RNA, 433 nt
Filed under: uncultured bacterium
Lineage: Bacteria
Description: partial 16S ribosomal RNA
Rfam family: Bacterial small subunit ribosomal RNA
Source: RNAcentral
AACGAACGCUGGCGGCAGGCCUAACACAUGCAAGUCGAGCGAGGACUUCGGUUCUAGCGGCGGACGGGUGAGUAACGCGUGGGAAUGUGCCCUUCUCUACGGAAUAGCCCUGGGAAACUGGGAGUAAUACCGUAUACGCCCUAUUGGGGAAAGAUUUAUCGGAGAAGGAUCAGCCCGCGUUGGAUUAGGUAGUUGGUGGGGUAAUGGCCUACCAAGCCGACGAUCCAUAGCUGGUUUGAGAGGAUGAUCAGCCACACUGGGACUGAGACACGGCCCAGACUCCUACGGGAGGCAGCAGUGGGGAAUCUUAGACAAUGGGGGCAACCCUGAUCUAGCCAUGCCGCGUGAGUGAUGAUGGCCUUAGGGUUGUAAAGCUCUUUCAGCUGGGAAGAUAAUGACGGUACCAGCAGAAGAAGCCCCGGCUAACUCCGUG